CCUACGGGAGGCAGCAGUGGGGGAUAUUGCACAAUGGGGGAAACCCUGAUGCAGCGACGCCGCGUGGGCGAAGAAGUAUUUCGGUAUGUAAAGCCCUAUCAGCAGGGAAGAAGAAAUGACGGUACCUGAGUAAGAAGCACCGGCUAAAUACGUGCCAGCAGCCGCGGUAAUACGUAUGGUGCAAGCGUUAUCCGGAUUUACUGGGUGUAAAGGGAGCGCAGGCGGCACGGCAAGCCUGAUGUGAAAGCCCGCGGCCCAACCGCGGGACUGCAUUGGGAACUACCGGGCUGGAGUGCCGGAGAGGUAGGCGGAAUUCCUAGUGUAGCGGUGAAAUGCGUAGAUAUUAGGAGGAACACCAGUGGCGAAGGCAUCUCACGAAUCCGCGAUUGACGCUGAUGCACGAAAGCGUGGGUAUCAAACAGGAUUAGAUACCCUUGUAGUC
Molecule: ribosomal RNA, 442 nt
Filed under: uncultured bacterium
Lineage: Bacteria
Description: partial 16S ribosomal RNA
Rfam family: Bacterial small subunit ribosomal RNA
Source: RNAcentral